GACGAACGCUGGCGGCGUGCUUAACACAUGCAAGUCGAACGAUGAUGCUCCAGCUUGCUGGGGUGGAUUAGUGGCGAACGGGUGAGUAAUACGUGAGUAACCUGCCCUUGACUCUGGGAUAAGCCUGGGAAACUGGGUCUAAUACUAGAUACUACAUACCUUCGCAUGGGGGUGUGUGGAAAGGGUUUUACUGGUUUUGGAUGGGCUCACGGCCUAUCAGCUUGUUGGUGGGGUAAUGGCCUACCAAGGCGACGACGGGUAGCCGGCCUGAGAGGGUGACCGGCCACACUGGGACUGAGACACGGCCCAGACUCCUACGGGAGGCAGCAGUGGGGAAUAUUGCACAAUGGGCGAAAGCCUGAUGCAGCGACGCCGCGUGAGGGAUGACGGCCUUCGGGUUGUAAACCUCUUUCAGCACGGAAGAAGCGAAAGUGACGGUA
Molecule: ribosomal RNA, 440 nt
Filed under: uncultured bacterium
Lineage: Bacteria
Description: bacterial SSU rRNA
Rfam family: Bacterial small subunit ribosomal RNA
Source: RNAcentral